This 65-nucleotide transfer RNA is filed under the name Senga ophiocephalina. RNAcentral's name for it is "tRNA-Ser". Lineage: Eukaryota; Metazoa; Platyhelminthes; Cestoda; Bothriocephalidea; Bothriocephalidae. The record is from RNAcentral.
CUCAUAACUUAUUCUUAAGCUUUUGAUUUGAAAUCAAAAUAUUUGUUUUUAUUGACAAUGUGGGU